Molecule: ribosomal RNA, 322 nt
Filed under: uncultured eukaryote
Lineage: Eukaryota
Description: partial 18S ribosomal RNA
Rfam family: Eukaryotic small subunit ribosomal RNA
Source: RNAcentral
CCCUUAGAUGUUCUGGGCCGCACGCGUGCUACACUGAACGGUUCAAUGGGUGAGGUAGUGCGAAAGCAUGACCCAAUCUCUAAAUCCGUUCGUGCUGGGGAUAGAAGCUUGCAAUUAUCCUUCUUGAACGAGGAAUACCUUGUAGGCGUGAGUCAUCAUCUCGCGCCGAAUACGUCCCUGCCCUUUGUACACACCGCCCGUCGCUCCUACCGAUUGAGUGGUCCGGUGAGGCUUUGGGAGGACUGGAUGGAUUGUGUUUCACAAACUAUUCGGGCUGAACUUAGUCAAACCUUAUCACUUAGAGGAAGGAGAAGUCGUAACA